Mauremys mutica (yellowpond turtle) is the source of this 232-nucleotide long non-coding RNA. RefSeq lists it as uncharacterized. NCBI's taxonomy places the organism in Eukaryota, Metazoa, Chordata, Testudines, Geoemydidae. The record is from RefSeq and is a predicted model, not a curated record. The transcript has 3 exons.
GUGGACUUUGCAGCUAUUCACAGUUACAAAUGGUAUCCUGGGGUUUCUAUAACGAAAAGUGGUCCGAUCCAGAGGAAAAUGGAACAACAGCAAAGGAUAAAUUAUUGCAGGUUUCAUGGUGGAGGUGACUCUUUCCCAGUGAAUUCAAGGAAAUUCCACAAGGUUUCCAGGGCCCUGGAAGGUUGACAGAUACAGUGUAAUAAGCAUUUCCUACUGUUCUCCAAAGGUAUAG